This 230-nucleotide ribosomal RNA is filed under the name uncultured soil bacterium. RNAcentral describes it as "partial 16S ribosomal RNA". It matches the Rfam family "Bacterial small subunit ribosomal RNA", at positions 26 to 267 of the family's 1533-position model. The record is from RNAcentral.
AGAUUGAACGCUGGCGGCAUGCCUAACACAUGCAAGUCGAACGGGAGUAGCAAUACUCUAGUGGCGGACGGGUGAGGAAUACGUAGGAAUUUGCCCUUAAGUGGGGGAUAACCCGGGGAAACCCGGAUUAAUACCGCAUGACCUCGAAAGAGCAAAGUGGGGGAUCGCAAGACCUCACGCUUUUGGAGAAGCCUACGUCGGAUUAGCUUAGUUGGUGAGGUAAUGGCUCA